This 402-nucleotide ribosomal RNA is filed under the name uncultured Treponema sp. Its description in RNAcentral is "bacterial SSU rRNA". It matches the Rfam family "Bacterial small subunit ribosomal RNA", at positions 338 to 732 of the family's 1533-position model. The record is from RNAcentral. Lineage: Bacteria; Pseudomonadati; Spirochaetota; Spirochaetia; Treponematales; Treponemataceae.
CCUACGGGUGGCUGCAGUAGAGAAUCUUCGGCAAUGGGGGGAACCCUGACCGAGCGAUACCGCGUGAAUGAAGACAUACUUCUAGUACGUAAAAUUCUUUUAUUUAGGAAGAACAUAUAGUAUAGGAAAUGAUAUUAUAGUGACGGUACUAAAUGAAUAAGCCCCGGCUAACUAUGUGCCAGCAGCCGCGGUAAUACAUAGGGGGCAAGCGUUAUCCGGAAUUAUUGGGCGUAAAGGGUGCGUAGGCGGUUUUUUAAGUUCAAGGUUUAAAUCCAAAGCUCAACUUUGGAACGCUUUGAAAACUGGGAGACUAGAGAUAGGUAGAGGCAAGUGGAAUUCCAUGUGUAGCGGUAAAAUGCGUAAAUAUAUGGAGGAACACCAGUGGCGAAGGCGGCUUGCUGG